CGCAGCCGCGGUAAUUCCAGCUCCAAUAGCGUAUAUUAAAGUUGUUGCAGUUAAAAAGCUCGUAGUUGAAUUUCGAGAUCAAAUUGUUGGUCGUGCCUCGGUACGUACUGGCAUUAUUGAUUUCUCCCUUCUGAAGAACCUUGAUGUCAUUAAUUUGGUGUCUUGGGGAAUCAGGACCGUUACUUUGAAAAAUUAGAGUGUUUAAAGCAGGCUCACGCUUGAAUACAUUAGCAUGGAAUAAUGAAAUAGGGCGUUUGAUUCUAUUUUGUUGGUUUCUAGGAUCGACGUAAUGAUUAAUAGGGAUAGUUGGGGGCAUUAGUAUUCAAUUGUCAGAGGUGAAAUUCUUGGAUUUAUUGAAGACUAACUACUGCGAAAGCAUUUGCCAAGGAUGUUUUCAUUAAUCAAGAACGAAAGUUAGGGGAUCGAAGACGAUCAGAUACCGUCGUAGUCUUAACCAUAAACUAUGCCGACUAGGGAUCGGACGAAGUUAAUUUUAUAAUGACGCGUUCGGCACCUUACGG
Molecule: ribosomal RNA, 521 nt
Filed under: uncultured Glomus
Lineage: Eukaryota; Fungi; Glomeromycota; Glomeromycetes; Glomerales; Glomeraceae
Description: SSU rRNA
Rfam family: Eukaryotic small subunit ribosomal RNA
Source: RNAcentral